GUCCUUGCCCUAAACGAUGUAUACUUGGUGUUGUUGGGCUCAACCCUGACAGUACCGUAGCUAACGCGAUAAGUAUACCGCCUGGGGAGUACGCUCGCAAGGGUAAAACUCAAAAGAAUUGACGGGGACCCGCACAAGCAGUGGAGCAUGUGGUUUAAUUCGAUGCAACGCGAAGAACCUUACCUGGACUUGACAUGCACUUGACGGCUACAGAGAUGUAGCUUUCUCGCAAGAGACAGGUGCACAGGUGCUGCAUGGCUGUCGU
RNAcentral lists this ribosomal RNA (265 nucleotides) under uncultured bacterium. RNAcentral's name for it is "partial 16S ribosomal RNA". It matches the Rfam family "Bacterial small subunit ribosomal RNA", at positions 793 to 1055 of the family's 1533-position model. The record is from RNAcentral.